GACGAACGCUGGCGGCGUGCUUAACACAUGCAAGUCGAACGGAAAGGCCCUGCUUUUGUGGGGUGCUCGAGUGGCGAACGGGUGAGUAACACGUGAGUAACCUGCCCUUGACUUUGGGAUAACUUCAGGAAACUGGGGCUAAUACCGGAUAGGAGCUCCUGCUGCAUGGUGGGGGUUGGAAAGUUUCGGCGGUUGGGGAUGGACUCGCGGCUUAUCAGCUUGUUGGUGGGGUAGUGGCUUACCAAGGCUUUGACGGGUAGCCGGCCUGAGAGGGUGACCGGCCACAUUGGGACUGGGAUACGGCCCAGACUCCUCCGGGAGGCAGCAGUGGGGAAUAUUGCACAAUGGGCGGAAGCCUGAUGCAGCAACGCCGCGUGCGGGAUGACAGCCUUCGGGUUGUAAACCGUUUUCGCCUGUGACGAAGCGUGAGUGACGGUAAUGGGUAAAGAAGCACCGGCUACCUACGUG
Molecule: ribosomal RNA, 468 nt
Filed under: uncultured bacterium
Lineage: Bacteria
Description: partial 16S ribosomal RNA
Rfam family: Bacterial small subunit ribosomal RNA
Source: RNAcentral